AACGAACGCUGGCGGCAGGCUUAACACAUGCAAGUCGAGCGCUGUAGCAAUACAGAGCGGCAGACGGGUGAGUAACGCGUGGGAACAUACCCUCCGGUUCGGAAUAACUCAGGGAAACUUGAGCUAAUACCGGAUACGGUCGAGAGGCGAAAGAUUUAUCGCCGGAGGAUUGGCCCGCGUCCGAUUAGCUAGUUGGUGUGGUAAUGGCGCACCAAGGCGACGAUCGGUAGCUGGUCUGAGAGGAUGAUCAGCCACAUUGGGACUGAGACACGGCCCAAACUCCUACGGGAGGCAGCAGUGGGGAAUAUUGGACAAUGGGCGAAAGCCUGAUCCAGCCAUGCCGCGUGAGUGAUGAAGGCCUUAGGGUUGUAAAGCUCUUUCGCCCACGACGAUAAUGACGGUAGUGGGAGAAGAA
This 415-nucleotide ribosomal RNA is filed under the name uncultured bacterium. RNAcentral's name for it is "bacterial SSU rRNA". It matches the Rfam family "Bacterial small subunit ribosomal RNA", at positions 29 to 489 of the family's 1533-position model. The record is from RNAcentral.